RNAcentral lists this ribosomal RNA (92 nucleotides) under Danio rerio (zebrafish). The record is from RNAcentral. Lineage: Eukaryota; Metazoa; Chordata; Actinopteri; Cypriniformes; Danionidae.
UCCGGCAGCUAGCUCUCUGCAACUCUCACAUGGUUGCGCCCAGUAAGUACCUGGAUGGGAGACCACAUGAGAAAGCUAGGUUGAUGCUGGAA